Non-coding RNA from Biomphalaria pfeifferi, 1341 nucleotides. The record is from the annotation of a GenBank genome assembly. NCBI's taxonomy places the organism in Eukaryota, Metazoa, Mollusca, Gastropoda, Planorbidae.
GUUGUACCAUAAAAUUAAUUUAUAUCUUUAUUUACAUAUUUCAAAUCAAAAUUUAGAAAGCUCUAAUUUUUAAAAUAUUAAAUUAGCUAAUAUUCUUUGAAAAAAAUAUGCUUACUUUGAUCCACCAUCAUCCACUUGUAUUAUUUUGUUUAAAUUUAAUGUUAAAGACAUCAAGCUAAAGUAUUAGAAAGGUUUUGUACCUUUGUUUUUUCUUAUCAUUUAUUGUUUUAUGUAAUUAAAAAGUAUAACAAUUGUAUUUAUCAUGAUCAAUUUAAUGGAGCAUAGAAAUCGCAGCUUUAAAAUAACUAAAAUUUCAAUCAUUACUGGGGUUUCAUAAUCUCUAGUUAUCAAUAUGAAUGUAAUUUUGAAGUCUAGAUCUCCUUAACUCUUUCUCUCCUAACUGACAAUAUGAAUAUUGAUUUGACCCCAUUAAAUUAAAUUAAUUUUUGGUUUUAUAAACUUUAAUUUGUUUUAUAUAAAAAGAGCAUUUAUUCUUCUAUAAUUUAUACCUAAUAUAACAUUUCCUGAUUACAUAACAAAAGUUAUUGAAAUUUAAUCAUAACAGGGUAAUGAAACACAAAUGAGUCAAAUGAAUAAUUCCAUUGGAAUGUGGAAUAUAAUUAUGGAGAGAAAGAGUUAAUUUCAUUUUUUAAUUAAUUACUAUCUAACAAAGUUGAUAAUUGCUAAUGAUUAAAAUAUUGUUACCUUGUGGUGCAUUCAUUAUCACUGCAAAAACUAUAAACAAUUAUUGAAUCAUAUAUUAAAUUUAACUAAAGAUGCAGGUCCAAGCAAUAUGUCCUAUAACAAGAUUUAUAUAGUAUUACACAUCAACUGAAAAGCAAAUUCUAAAUUUGAAUUAUCUUGUUUAGGUUUAAUAAACUUUGUCUAAAACAAUUCAAGAUAUACUAGAAGUGAAUUUAAACAUUCUCUGUAACUACUGUACAGCUGUGAAUGAUCAACUAAUUGUACUAUUUUUUUUCUUUUCUCUGUUUGUGAUGUGAGUUGUUUUGUUUUCUUUUGUUUCUGUAAAUAUUUAGCUAAUUAUUGCUUUAUGUCAUUAAAAUAAUGGCUGGUCAUAAGGAAGACAUAUUAUUUCAUGUGAAUGUUGUGGUGUGAAGUGCAGUUGAAGCUUGGUUUGUCAAGCAACAAAACAUGGCUUAUAUUGUGAUGUCAGUUAAUUUUGUUUAAUAUUUUUUUGACUAUUCUGUUUGUGAUGAAAAAAAAAGUUUUGUGUGAUUCAGGAAAGAUUUUUUUAUGAUAUUUAGGUAACAAUAAAUGAAAUAAUGUCUCUAAUGUUUACAGUUUGUGGUUUUGCUUUUUUUUUUUUUUUUUUUUUUUUUU